GACAGAGGGUGCAAGCGUUGUUCGGAAUUAUUGGGCGUAAAGGGCGCGUAGGCGGCUGAGCAAGUCGAACGUGAAAUCCCUGGGCUUAACCCAGGAAGUGCAUUUGAUACUGCUCAACUUGAGUCCCGGAGAGGGUGGUGGAAUUCCCAGUGUAGAGGUGAAAUUCGUAGAUAUUGGGAGGAACACCGGUGGCGAAGGCGACCACCUGGACGGAGACUGACGCUGAGGCGCGAAAGCGUGGGGAGCAAACAGG
RNAcentral lists this ribosomal RNA (253 nucleotides) under uncultured bacterium. Its description in RNAcentral is "partial 16S ribosomal RNA". It matches the Rfam family "Bacterial small subunit ribosomal RNA", at positions 524 to 776 of the family's 1533-position model. The record is from RNAcentral.